Molecule: ribosomal RNA, 429 nt
Filed under: Gemmatimonadota bacterium
Lineage: Bacteria; Pseudomonadati; Gemmatimonadota
Description: Gemmatimonadetes bacterium partial 16S ribosomal RNA
Rfam family: Bacterial small subunit ribosomal RNA
Source: RNAcentral
UAGGGAAUCUUCGGCAAUGGACGAAAGUCUGACCGAGCAACGCCGCGUGAGUGAAGAAGGUUUUCGGAUCGUAAAACUCUGUUGUUCGAGAAGAACAAGGACGUUAGUAACUGAACGUCCCCUGACGGUAUCUAACCAGAAAGCCACGGCUAACUACGUGCCAGCAGCCGCGGUAAUACGUAGGUGGCAAGCGUUGUCCGGAUUUAUUGGGCGUAAAGCGAGCGCAGGCGGUUGCUUAAGUCUGAUGUGAAAGCCCCCGGCUCAACCGGGGAGGGUCAUUGGAAACUGGGAGACUGGAGUGCAGAAGAGGAGAGUGGAAUUCCAUGUGUAGCGGUGAAAUGCGUAGAUAUAUGGAGGAACACCAGUGGCGAAGGCGGCUAUCUGGUCUGUAACUGACGCUGAGGCUCGAAAGCGUGGGGAGCAAACAGG